UACAGAGGGUGCGAGCGUUGUCCGGAAUCACUGGGCGUAAAGGGCGCGUAGGCGGUGGCGUAAGCGUGCGGUGAAAGCUCGGGGCUCAACCCCGAGUCGGCCGUGCGAACUGGGCCACUGGAGCAGAUCAGAGGCAGGCGGAAUUCCGGGAGUAGCGGUGGAAUGCGUAGAGAUCCGGAAGAACACCGGUGGCGAAGGCGGCCUGCUGGGAUCUUGCUGACGCUGAGGCGCGACAGCGUGGGGAGCAAACAGG
Molecule: ribosomal RNA, 253 nt
Filed under: uncultured bacterium
Lineage: Bacteria
Description: partial 16S ribosomal RNA
Rfam family: Bacterial small subunit ribosomal RNA
Source: RNAcentral